RNAcentral lists this ribosomal RNA (253 nucleotides) under uncultured bacterium. RNAcentral describes it as "partial 16S ribosomal RNA". It matches the Rfam family "Bacterial small subunit ribosomal RNA", at positions 524 to 776 of the family's 1533-position model. The record is from RNAcentral.
GACAGAGGGUGCAAACGUUGCUCGGAAUUACUGGGCGUAAAGCGCGUGUAGACGGACUGGUGUGUCGGAUGUGAAAUCCCCAGGCUUAACCUGGGAACUGCAUUCGAGACUGCAUUGCUAGAGUAUGGGAGAGGGAAGUGGAAUUUCCGGUGUAGCGGUGAAAUGCGUAGAUAUCGGAAGGAACAUCAGUGGCGAAAGCGACUUCCUGGACCAAUACUGACGCUCAUGUGCGAAAGCGUGGGGAGCAAACAGG